CGGGACCCGGAAUUGGGAUCAGGAUGCCUUUCCAGCCCGGGCUCUGUUUUCUGGACCUAAAUAACGCCGAAUCCCUCAAAGGAUCAGCGUUUCCGGUCACUUAAAAAAAACAAGCAGAGCCCGCAGAUGCUUUUCAAAGUGCAAGUAUAUCGUCACGCACCCGGAAUGUACCUUUUCAUCCGACCAAGUCUGAAGCAUUGCUUCCAAGGUGAAAGAGCAUCAUGGUAAUCACGAAGAGCUAACGCUUUCCUUCCCAGAAAAUCUGCUUUCAAAAAUAUUGAUAUAUUCCUCCAUAACUGACUAAUUCAGCCUGCCGAAGACCAAGCCCUAAUAAGGAAAUGAUUUUUUAGGCCACACCAUACCUCUCUCUGCUUGCUGCUUUGUGCCAGCCCCAAGACUAACACAAUGCCCUUUAACUCAUUGGAUCGGUGACAGCCUUCUGGACAUCAGGAUGGGCUCAGCCACUCCUCCCUUUGUCACUCAGAACUUGAGCCUUCAUUAAAUCUCUACAAUUCGAGUUCUAACCUGUUCCAUAAGAGAUUGGACUUGAAUAAUUGUGAGAUUCCUUUCCCCACUGAAGUUAGGUGAUAUCAUCCAUCUUCAGGCAUCUCUGGCAUUUUUCUCUUUAGGAAUAUGAUGGCAACACAAAUAGAAUGUGAAGAUUCAAGAGGAAUGAAGACAAAAAAUGUAGAGAACAUGAAGGACUGUUUUUCUUCAUUCUUCUGUGGCAUGGGAAAAUCUAUUUAUAAGGGUUAAGGGGAGGUAUUCAGCCCAUAGCUGAGAAGUGCCAGGCCCAUUCUCUAAAAGGAUUACUAAUAUCUAUUUAUAGCACCCAGCAGGUCAUCAUGUUCUGGAUCAAGAUACACACACUGUCACAAGUACAGAAGAGGCAGCCACACUCCAUAAACUAUUCAUUUGAUAUUUUAUUUGACACCAUCUUAACUUUUAAAGGAAAAAUUAACUUGUAGCUUAAAAUUAUGUUAGAGCACACUCAAUAUUUAGCAUUAGAUUUUAUUUUUAAGGCAAAGGAUUAUCACAGGUUUUAUAUUAAGUAGACUGUACAUAAACAGGCAGGGGGUGAUAAGCCAAUAAAUAACAUUGCUUUAAACACUAUAGAGUCCAGUUUAUGGCAUAUUAUUUUCUAACAGUACAAAACUAAUACAGAAAAUACAUUUGAAAGAUCACAGUGUUCAGAACAUUGUAUAACAGCAGUUUUAAAGACAGUAAGGUGCAUCUCUAAGCUUCUGACUCAACCCUGCUUCCAGAGAAUUCAUUAUACCAUGCACUGGCUGUAAGCAAAUCCCCCACACGAAGGGGAGGCGACAUCAACUGACCUGUAGCACUUCCCCCGCCAGGAACAACCAAGAACAAAAGCUAAAAUCCGAUGAGCAUUGAUUGGCAAGUUGAUCCUGUUCAGCCAGGCAGCAGCUAACUUGCCCCAGUGACCAUGUCUUUGUGUAUUAAGUGUUUGCCAUUUUGUCCUUGAGAAUGUAUGCAUUCGAGCUUGUGAUUGCUAGUUUCUUUGUCAAAUACCUAAAUGGAUUGUGACUAAAGAUCAAUUGAAUGUCAUGUAUUGCAUUAUACUUUCUUGCUCUGACUGAAAUACCCAUUAUUUUCUUGAAAUAUUAAGUACAGAAUAACAGAGUUCUAGAAAGUGAUUUUUUUGGCAUAAUAAUAUGUAAUAUACCAGAAUACUUGAUAACUUGGUUUUAUUAUAAAAUACAGUACUACAACAUUUUGUGAUAUAGCAAAAUAUCUGACACAAUGUUCUGCUCUAAUUUAGAUGUAACUGCUACAAAUACGUCUUUGAAAGCGCCUCAAAGUACCCCUAAAGGAAUAUAAUAAUUAGCAAUGAGUUGUAGAACCUUUUUUGGCAAAAAGAAAAAAAAAGGCAUUUUUUAAUAAGUCUCUCAUUUUGUGUGCAAGGCUUUCAAAAUUUUAGUUAUAUACAACAUAUAACUGGUGUUGGAUUUAAUGCUAUUGGAAAUUAGGCUUUUAAAAUCAUAAUAACUAAUCUGUGUUAUUUGGUGUAUUUUAAAAUAAAUUUAUGUUUUUAACUCUGCAUGUGUGCUGAGGCAAAUGCAUUGUAAAAAGAG
Molecule: long non-coding RNA, 2096 nt
Filed under: Bos taurus (domestic cattle)
Lineage: Eukaryota; Metazoa; Chordata; Mammalia; Artiodactyla; Bovidae
Description: long non-coding RNA NONBTAT026866
Source: RNAcentral